UCUCUCUCUCGCAUCGAUGGGAGCGGCGUCGAUUGCCCAGCGAGAGUGCGCGAGCGAGCUGCCCGGCUUUCCGAUGCCAUAGAGCAGGUCGGCCCAUGUGCACAAUUUCACAUAUGUACAUUCAUCAAGCAAGGCUCAGCUUGGAUCAAGCUCGACAUCCUCAUCAUACAUGCCAUGAAGUUGUCAAGCAGGGUCUCUUGGUGGAGUGCCAAGACCAAAGGUGGAGAAGAUGCUCAUGAAGCCCAGAAUUAGAAGGGAUGUGGAUAAUUUAUGGGAUGUGAGAAAGAACAAUUGUGAAGAAUAAAGUUGUCCGAUUAUCGAUAGGAUGGACAUCUAAUGUAAAGCUAAGGGGAAGCUGCUUAAUUGACUGAUCCUGUUUGGACCAUUCGACUUGGAAGGUUUUGGUGCAGUAUUUUUGUGACUGGUUUAUGGAAAUGUCAUAGAAGAGAAACUUUUUCUGUAAGCAAUGCAGACCAUCAGUAUCAGCACAAAGAGAUCUUUCAGUUCAAGUGGCCCAAGGUUGUCACUGCGGCUUCCUCCUAUAUACUACAGUGUGAGUUAAAAGAACAAGGCCAUUGAGAUCUUUCUCAAUCAGACUAGGAGAAUCACCUUAUUGGAUGUCUAUGAUGUCACCCUCGAUUCACGUGAGAAGAGCCAGGGUGGUGGUACAAUUCCGUGAAGCAGCCUGUGCCUGUAAUAUAUCGACUGUCUAUGAUGUCGCCUAAGGAUCAUGUAGAGGCAGGUCUCCUGAUCCAUUUAUGUGAGACAGGGACUGCUUCCCUGUAGAGCAUGUAGAAGCAGAUCCUCUAGUCUAACCCCUGGCUUCAGUGAAUGCCUGUGCCAUUGUUCUGUCGGAGCAGCCUAUAUCCAGAGUGUACUUUCUACCAUCUCUCUCCAUUUCUUAAUCUCUGAACUGUCGCUCACUUCUACUGCUUACAUUCAUCUACAGGUUGGAUUCAAUCAGCAUGGAAGAUUAAUCGAUUGAAGCCUUCCACCCCAUAAUAUGAGUGGAUGGGUUGAUGAGACUACUAAACGGCACAGCUUCACCAACUUCCUUUAAUGCCAGACUUUCCUCGGACAGCUGAAGAUUCUGUUCUUAUCACUGAGGCAUCGCCCAUCUAGUGCACCCAACACGAUCAUCAUCAUGGAGGAAAGGAUCAAGGUGGGCAAGUGCCUUGUUGGUCCGAUCAUAUCUGAUAAUAGUGAGGAGCAACUCAUCCAGUCCCAAAUGCCGGCUGAUCUCUCAUGGUGCUUCAUCUCAGAACGUGCUAGGAAACUGAUAUCCCACUCACCGUCUUGUCUCAGUCCAAGCUUUGGUGAAGCAAGGAAGGUGGUGGUGGGAAACAAAAUGCUGGUCUCUGUAUGAUGUUGCCUUUGCUCCCAUUCAUCCUACCAUUCCAUUAUGUGGACAUCAUUUAAAAAAAAUUGAC
Long non-coding RNA from Musa acuminata AAA Group (dessert banana), 1430 nucleotides. RefSeq lists it as uncharacterized. The transcript is spliced from 6 exons. NCBI's taxonomy places the organism in Eukaryota, Viridiplantae, Streptophyta, Magnoliopsida, Zingiberales, Musaceae. The record is from RefSeq and is a predicted model, not a curated record.